RNAcentral lists this transfer RNA (69 nucleotides) under Peristedion thompsoni. RNAcentral describes it as "tRNA-Arg". It matches the Rfam family "tRNA". Rfam says of the family: Transfer RNA (tRNA) molecules are approximately 80 nucleotides in length. Their secondary structure includes four short double-helical elements and three loops (D, anti-codon, and T loops). Lineage: Eukaryota; Metazoa; Chordata; Actinopteri; Perciformes; Peristediidae. The record is from RNAcentral.
AGACUGUUAGUUUAAGAAAAACCUUUGAUUUCGGCUCAAAAACUUGUGGUUAGAGUCCACAACUGUUUA